AACGCACAUUGCGCCCUUUGGUAUUCCGAGGGGCAUGUCUGUCUGAGCGUCACGGAAAAAUGCUCGAGCCCAGCUCGGUGUUGGUCCUAGUGGGUAAUCCACGGGGCCGAAAUUCAGUGACAGCGGUGUCCACUGGCACUCCGACGUAGUAAUAAACAACCUCGUCGAAGAGUCUCUGUGGCCGCUUGCCGAACCCAAUCUAUAGAACAUGAUUGACCUCAGAUCAGAUAAGGAUACCCGCUGAACUUAA
RNAcentral lists this unclassified non-coding RNA (250 nucleotides) under uncultured Ascomycota. RNAcentral describes it as "sequence contains ITS2". The stretch from base 1 to 52 matches the Rfam family "5.8S ribosomal RNA", at positions 103 to 154 of the family's 154-position model. Lineage: Eukaryota; Fungi; Ascomycota. The record is from RNAcentral.